RNAcentral lists this unclassified non-coding RNA (760 nucleotides) under Hevea brasiliensis (rubber tree). The record is from RNAcentral. Lineage: Eukaryota; Viridiplantae; Streptophyta; Magnoliopsida; Malpighiales; Euphorbiaceae.
GAAAGCGGCAAUGCCGAACUGAAUGGCAAGAAGCUAUAAGAACAACUAUCGUAUAGAAAAUUAAUCACACUGCUACUUAAAAUCAUCUAAUAAAACGAAUUGAUACUAAGAACUUCCUGAACAAUGAGUUUACCAAACUACGUAAUCAAAAUAAAAUGAUAAUGCUGGUUAAUCAAUAGAAAUAUUAUCCGUUUCUAAUUAAGCAGAGAAUUCCGUACCAUCUCCAUUGAUAACUCACAAGAACGACGACCUAGCAGCGCUCCCGUACUGAGAUCGACGAAUGUUAUCCUGGCGCUUCUUGUACACGAAUCCUCCUAUUCCGACGAAACACACUGCUGCAAUCACUCCAACUGCAAUUCCAGCCUUCUUUCCUCCAUUCAUCCCGCCUUUGGAGGCUUCGGAGUCUUCUCCACCGCCAGUGGAAGUGCUGUUACUGAAAUCGCUGUCGGCCGUUGGUGAAGGAGAGGGAGUCGGUGGCAGAGAAGGAACAGGCGCUGGAGAUGGAGUUGGAGUGAGAUCUGAGGGAGGAGGUGCAGGAGGAGAAUGCAGAGGCGAUUCGACCGGAGAACUCGCUGGAGCGUGAGGGAAUGGAGUAGGAGAAGGUAAUGGAGGAGAAUUUUCAGGAGAUUCAGGAGAUGGAGAAGGAGAAAGUUGCUGCGAUAGUUCCAAAGAGAAAACGUCGUUGAUCACUAGCGAAACGAAGAUGAAAAGAAGAGAAGAGAAUGCAAUGGAUUUCGCCAUUUUCGUAGUGAGCAGAAGA